Molecule: ribosomal RNA, 493 nt
Filed under: uncultured bacterium
Lineage: Bacteria
Description: partial 16S ribosomal RNA
Rfam family: Bacterial small subunit ribosomal RNA
Source: RNAcentral
GACGAACGCUGGCGGCGUGCUUAACACAUGCAAGUCGAACGGAAAGGCCUGCUUUCCCUUGUGGAUUGCGGGUACUCGAGUGGCGAACGGGUGAGUACACGUGAGUGAUCUGCCCCCAACUUGGGUAUAAGCCUGGGAAACUGGGUCUAAUUCCCGAUAGGACUGCAGGGUGGUGCCUGUGGUGGAAAACGAUUUUCUAGUGGUUGGGGAUGAGCUCGCGGCCUAUCAGCUUGUUGGUGGGGUAAUGGCCUACCAAGGCGGCGACGGGUAGCCGGCCUGAGAGGGUGGACGGCCACAUUGGGACUGAGAUACGGCCCAGACUCCUACGGGAGGCAGCAGUGGGGAAUAUUGCACAAUGGGCGGAAGCCUGAUGCAGCGACGCCGCGUGGGGGAUGACGGCCUUCGGGUUGUAAACUCCUUUCGACCGCGAGGAAGCCACCUGGUUGGAAGGGUGGUGACGGUAGUGGUAGAAGAAGCACCGGCUAACUACGUG